Acanthosepion pharaonis is the source of this 114-nucleotide non-coding RNA. NCBI's taxonomy places the organism in Eukaryota, Metazoa, Mollusca, Cephalopoda, Sepiida, Sepiidae. The record is from the annotation of a GenBank genome assembly.
UUACGACCACAUCACGUUGAAACAUUGGUUCCCGUACGAUCACCGAAGUUAAGCAACGUUGAGCCUGGUCAGUACCUAGAUAGAUGAUGACAGGAGAAUGGCAAAUGCUGUAAG